This 585-nucleotide ribosomal RNA is filed under the name Vishniacozyma victoriae. RNAcentral's name for it is "eukaryotic LSU rRNA". It matches the Rfam family "Eukaryotic large subunit ribosomal RNA", at positions 76 to 656 of the family's 3401-position model. Lineage: Eukaryota; Fungi; Basidiomycota; Tremellomycetes; Tremellales; Bulleribasidiaceae. The record is from RNAcentral.
UCUUGUACGGCGAGUGACCGGGAUGAGCUCAAAUUUAAAAUCUGGCGUCUUUCAGGCGUCCGAGUUGUAAUCUAUAGAGGCGUUUUCCGCGCCGGACCGCGUCCAAGUCUCUUGGAAUAGAGUAUCAAAGAGGGUGACAAUCCCGUACUUGACGCGACAACCGGUGCUCUGUGAUACGUUCUCAAUGAGUCGAGUUGUUUGGGAAUGCAGCUCUAAAUGGGUGGUAAAUUCCAUCUAAGGCUAAAUAUUGGCGAGAGACCGAUAGCGAACAAGUACCGUGAGGGAAAGAUGAAAAGCACUUUGGAAAGAGAGUUAAACAGCACGUGAAAUUGUUAAAAGGGAAACGAUUGAAGUCAGUCGUGUGAAAGGUAUUCAGCCGUCUCUGGCGGUGUAUUUGCCUUUCACGGGUCAACAUCAGUUUGAUCCGGUAGAAAAAGGCGGGAGGAAGGUGGCACCCUCGGGUGUGUUAUAGCCUCCUGUCAUAUGUGCCGGACCAGACUGAGGAACGCAGCUUGCCGCAAGGCCGGGGUUCGCCCACGUACAAGCUUAGGAUGUUGACAUAAUGGCUUUAAACGACCCGUCUUA